This 71-nucleotide transfer RNA is filed under the name Bothrogonia shuana. RNAcentral describes it as "tRNA-Ile". RNAcentral also lists the same sequence under 2 other names. The record is from RNAcentral. Lineage: Eukaryota; Metazoa; Arthropoda; Insecta; Hemiptera; Cicadellidae.
AAUAAGAUGCCUGAAUUAAAGGAUUAUUUUGAUAGAAUAAAUUAUGCAUAAUUAUAUAGAUGUUCUUAUUA